Oryctolagus cuniculus (rabbit) is the source of this 887-nucleotide non-coding RNA. The record is from RefSeq and is a predicted model, not a curated record. Lineage: Eukaryota; Metazoa; Chordata; Mammalia; Lagomorpha; Leporidae.
CCCUUGGGACAUUCGGAUCUGACUAAAAGGUCCAUGAGAGUCUCACAGACAUGGAAAGCCAUGACAUGGUGGCAAAAAGCAAUCUAAAUUAAGGAUCCUGGUGAACAACACUCCAGCAGAAGGAUCAGGCCAUCAAGGAGAGAGGCGCCUUUCUCUGAAGGGAGGAAGGAACCUCCACUGUGAUAUGGCCUUGACUAAACAAAUUCAGAGUUCCUGAACUCAAGGGGCUUCCAUAGCCUAGACAGCUCAUAGCAACAGUCUUGGGUAAUUGCUGACAUCAUAAAUAAGAGUGCCAAUUGUUAAAUCAACAACGGGAGUCACUGGGUUCAUGCUCCCCACACAGGAUCUCUGUCCUUAAUAUGUUUAACUAUGAAACUUAAAAACAACACUACUAGUCAUACAAUACCCUAUACCUAGUUUGGUUGUGUGAGUGCAACCUGUUGAAAUCCCUGCUUAGUAUAUACUAAUUUGAUCUUCAGUAUAUUAAGUUUCUUCACAGGUUGAAUUAAAUGUUGGGAAAGAUUACAGCUCCAUACUAUUCCAAAACAUACUCAUUCUGAGUGCAACUUCAAACAGAAAAGUGCAUACUGCAUGAGUAGAGUGAAUGCUAAUACACUUGACUGGAGAACUGCAAAGUGUGUUCAUUUAUUCAGAUGAGCUGACCCUAUCUUUGAAAUGCUUUAAGUAUCAAUGAGAGUUAUCAAUGAAUGAAUGAAAGGAUGAGCCUGCAUCCUACAGCAGAGUAUCUGAGUUUGAUACCCAGCUCCAGCUCCUGAUUCCACUGUCCUGCCAUUGUGGGCCCUGGAAGGCAGCAGAAUGGCUCAGGUUACUGGACUCCUGUCAUCCACGUGUGGCUGGCACUGGGGAAGGAGCCAUCCAAUGAGAAU